Molecule: ribosomal RNA, 492 nt
Filed under: uncultured bacterium
Lineage: Bacteria
Description: partial 16S ribosomal RNA
Rfam family: Bacterial small subunit ribosomal RNA
Source: RNAcentral
AGUGAACGCUGGCGGUAGGCCUAACACAUGCAAGUCGAACGGCAGCACAGUAAGAGCUUGCUCUUACGGGUGGCGAGUGGCGGACGGGUGAGGAAUACAUCGGAAUCUACUUUUUCGUGGGGGAUAACGUAGGGAAACUUACGCUAAUACCGCAUACGACCUACGGGUGAAAGCAGGGGAUCUUCGGACCUUGCGCGAUUGAAUGAGCCGAUGUCGGAUUAGCUAGUUGGCGGGGUAAAGGCCCGCUAAGGCGACGAUCCGUAGCUGGUCUGAGAGGAUGAUCAGCCACACUGGAACUGAGACACGGUCCAGACUCCUACGGGAGGCAGCAGUGGGGAAUAUUGGACAAUGGGCGCAAGCCUGAUCCAGCCAUACCGCGUGGGUGAAGAAGGCCUUCGGGUUGUAAAGCCCUUUUGUUGGGAAAGAAAAGCAGCAGGUUAAUACCCCGCUGUUCUGACGGUACCCAAAGAAUAAGCACCGGCUAACUUCGUG